This 323-nucleotide ribosomal RNA is filed under the name Euglypha sp. (in: cercozoans). RNAcentral's name for it is "SSU rRNA". The stretch from base 126 to 323 matches the Rfam family "Eukaryotic small subunit ribosomal RNA", at positions 756 to 955 of the family's 1831-position model. The record is from RNAcentral. Lineage: Eukaryota; Cercozoa; Imbricatea; Euglyphida; Euglyphidae.
GAUUUCUGACGAACCGGGGUGGCCCGUUUCCUCUCUGGGAAUGAGUGCCGCUUUGAGUUUGUCAUCCUUCCAGAGAGCUGCGUCUACCGUUUACUCGGCCGGACGUAUGCGAUCUGGAUCUAUUAUUUGAAAAAAUUAGAGUGUUUAAAGCAGGCUUGUGCUAUGAAUACAUUAGCAUGGAAUAAUAAUUUAGGACUUUGGUUCUAUUUUGUUGGUCUCUAGGACUGAAGUAAUGAUUGAUAGGGAUAGUUGGGGGUGCUAGUAUUCAGUGGCCAGAGGUGAAAUUCUCGGAUUCACUGAAGACUAACUUAUGCGAAAGCAUU